Molecule: long non-coding RNA, 348 nt
Organism: Oryzias melastigma (Indian medaka)
Lineage: Eukaryota; Metazoa; Chordata; Actinopteri; Beloniformes; Adrianichthyidae
Exons: 3
Source: RefSeq, a predicted model, not a curated record
CACGGUGUCAGAGGCGGGCUGGCCAGCGGGGUGAGGGGGCUGCCAGCCGGCUCUCCGCACCGAGUAAGACCGCAGAUGAAACCCGCAGAUGGAUCAUGAACGAGCAGGUCCACGGAGCUGCGGCAGCCGCUUCUCCAACAGGACUGUUUGGCGCUCAGAAGAGACUGAGGUCCCACAUGUGACGUCAUCAAUGACCGGCUUCGAUGGAACUUCAGGAAGUAAUCAAAGCAAAGUCUGGAAGACACUCACAGUUCCGCUGGGCCGAGUCGAGACCUAGAUCAACAUGGAGAGUACGCUGGGUGCUGAGGGAAGCUUGUUAUAAAGAUGUCCCCUUUUAAUUCAUGUGUU